AAAACUUUCAGCAACGGAUCUCUUGGUUCUCGCAUCGAUGAAGAACGCAGCGAAACGCGAUAUGUAAUGUGAAUUGCAAGUUUUGUGAAUCAUCGAAUUUUUGAACGCACAUUGCGCCCUUUGGCAUUCCGAAGGGCAUGCCUGUCUGAGCGUCAGU
This 157-nucleotide ribosomal RNA is filed under the name Tortispora caseinolytica. Its description in RNAcentral is "5.8S ribosomal RNA". It matches the Rfam family "5.8S ribosomal RNA". From Rfam's summary of the family: 5.8S ribosomal RNA (5.8S rRNA) is a component of the large subunit of the eukaryotic ribosome. RNAcentral also lists the same sequence under 2 other names. The record is from RNAcentral. Lineage: Eukaryota; Fungi; Ascomycota; Trigonopsidomycetes; Trigonopsidales; Trigonopsidaceae.